AUUGAACGCUGGCGGCAGGCCUAACACAUGCAAGUCGAACGAGAGGCGGACGGGUGAGUAAUGUCUGGGAAACUGCCUGAUGGAGGGGGAAAACUACUGGAAAGGGUAGCUAAUAAUGCAUACCAUCAGAUGUGCCCAGAUGGGAUUAGCUAGUCGGUGGGGUAACGGCUCACCAAGGCGACGAUCCCUAGCUGGUCUGAGAGGAUGACCGGCCACACUGGAAAUGAGACACGGCCCAGAAUCCUACGGGAGGCAGCAGUGGGGAAGAUUGCGCAAUGGGCGAAAGCCUGAUGCAGCCAUGCCGCGUGUGUGAAUAAGGCCUUCGUGUUGUAAAGUACUUUCAGCGGGGAGGCGUUACCCGCAGAUAAAGCACCGGCUAACUCCGUGCCAGCAGCCGCGGUAAUAC
RNAcentral lists this ribosomal RNA (406 nucleotides) under uncultured bacterium. RNAcentral describes it as "partial 16S ribosomal RNA". It matches the Rfam family "Bacterial small subunit ribosomal RNA", at positions 30 to 526 of the family's 1533-position model. The record is from RNAcentral.